CCUGUCCUUCCUGAUCAUUCCGGGGAUCAUUCCUCUCAUUUAGCUUAAUUGCUUGUAUUUUGAGUCCUUUUCCAAGCAUACCAUUUUUUAUUGUAGCCUAACAUUUUUGCCUAGUUUAGAUUGUAUUAUGUUAUUGUUAUGGUGAUGUGAUCAAAUCAUGCCAUUCAGUGAAGAUGUCUGGAAGCACCGAGACACGUAAUUAAAUUAUGUGUGAUAUAAUGAUGUUUACUCUGGUAUGCAGGUCUUUGACAACAUUUGAACAAAUACGUGAAAACAGUCUUAGUUUUUUUCAUAAAGGUAUGCAUGUGACAUACAGGUCAUCUGUAUGCUAAGAGAGCGAACGCUUGGCAACAGCCCAACCCGUCUGGUCAAGCAGCUGACAGAGAACCACAUUGAGGAGUGGUUGGACCGCCUAGCUGACUAAUUUGGGGAAUGUGCUGCUUUUGUGGACAAGCCCAGCCUCUUCCCAGUGGCCUGUAGGAGCCCCCAGAGCCUCUUGAUGUCCCCACCAGCCGAUGGCUACUGUCUAUUUAUGGAUGGGACAUCAUCAGGCGUAUGGACCACAUCAAGGCCAGAAUUACCUCCACAUUUGGGUCCAUUUUAAAAAUUGACUCCACCAAGAAGUUUAUUUCAUAGAACCAGCUGUAUCUCCUGGAAGGCCUGAACAGGUGGAAUCAGGACCGAGCUGUUGCAUCCCUCUCCACCAAACCCUCCUUACUGCUGAGCUACGCUGGGGACGUGGUUCAGUGUGUGAACAAAAACAGCAUGAAGUUGUUUGGCCUGAAAUAUGUGUCCUCUUUCCGCCCCCCUACAAAAUACACUGGAGAGCUGAUAGGCAUGGACUAUCUGCUCCUUCAGACAGGGCAGCCUUUGCGGAGGGUGGACCCC
Long non-coding RNA from Esox lucius (northern pike), 888 nucleotides. Lineage: Eukaryota; Metazoa; Chordata; Actinopteri; Esociformes; Esocidae. The record is from Ensembl.